This 254-nucleotide ribosomal RNA is filed under the name uncultured bacterium. Its description in RNAcentral is "partial 16S ribosomal RNA". It matches the Rfam family "Bacterial small subunit ribosomal RNA", at positions 524 to 776 of the family's 1533-position model. The record is from RNAcentral.
UACGGGGGGGACUAACGUUAUUCAUCAUAACUGGGCGUAAAGGGUACGUAGGCGGCUCUGUAAGUCUCGAUUAAGGAAUCUAAGCAUAACUUAGAAGUUACUCUUGAUACUGCUGGGCUUGAGGUCGAAAGAGGUGAGUCAUAUUCUUGAAGUAAAAGUAAAAUCUUUAGAUAUCAAGAGGAUGACCAAGUGGUUAAUGCGACUUUCUGGUUCGACGCUGACGCUGAGGUACGAAGGCAUGGGUAUCAAACGGG